RNA transcript from Sapajus apella (tufted capuchin), 774 nucleotides. It is a transcript of the gene named enhancer of rudimentary homolog pseudogene, with no coding region annotated. Lineage: Eukaryota; Metazoa; Chordata; Mammalia; Primates; Cebidae. The transcript has a single exon. The record is from RefSeq and is a predicted model, not a curated record.
AAUUAAGAUAUAUCCGAAGCUCGUGUAGUGGUGGCAGUGUCUGCAGUGGCUGCAGUGAAGAGAGUUUGGUGCCAUGUCUCACACUAUUUUGCUGGCACAGCCUACCAAGAGGCCAGAAUGCAGAACUUAUGCAGGCUACGAAUCUGUGAAUGAAUACAUGGAAGGCGUUUGUAAAAUGUAUGAAGAACAUCUGAAAAGAAUGAAUCCCAACAGUCCUUCUAUCACAUAUGACAUCAGUCAGUUGUUUGAUUUCAUCGAUGAUCUGGCAGACAUCAGCUGCCUGGUUUACCGGGCUGAUACCCAGACAUACCAGCCUCAUAACAAAGACUGGAUUAAAGAGAAGAUCUAUGUGUUCCUUCAUCAGCAGGCCCAACAGGCUGGGAAAUAAUUGUGUUGGAAGCAUUACGGGGGAUGAGGGGUGGGCUUGGAACACAGGUGUGUACAGCGUGCUAUAGUGGAAGUUUUGUAUUAUAGUAAUCCUGUUUCCACUUUGUUAUACUUUAGCCAAGUUGACUGUAUUAGAUGAAAUGUGAGGAUUUGUUCAGUCAGAAACCCCCAUUGCCCCCUCUUUUUUUCUUUUUUUUCACUUAAACAUUUUUAUGAUGAUUUAGAUGAAAAUUGUACUUUGUCAGUACAACUGUUAGCUGUUCAUAUCUACUUUAUAACAUUCACUAUACUAACUCUUCUUCAAGAUGGGGUGGGGGUGGAAAUGCAGUUUAGCCAUGUCCUCAAGAUAAAGUCUUGGUAAAAAUAAAUAAAUGUUCUUUAGUUAUA